AUGCAAUGUUAUGGAUACCAUGACCGAUCACCAUCGAGAAAGAAGAAUUUUGAUAAAUCACUUCGCGUGAGCGGGGCCUUCAAGCGGCCUCAAUACGCCGGGGUUGUAAAUGACAUACCUUUCCUUAUGGGAAAUGCCGCCUCCUUACUAAAAAGGAAUAGAAUCAAGUUAUUUUUACCAAAGAAGUCCCGCUCUGACGGCCCCGCCCCGCAUCAGUGA
Molecule: ribosomal RNA, 219 nt
Filed under: Triticum aestivum (bread wheat)
Lineage: Eukaryota; Viridiplantae; Streptophyta; Magnoliopsida; Poales; Poaceae
Description: partial small subunit ribosomal RNA
Source: RNAcentral